Molecule: long non-coding RNA, 365 nt
Organism: Aplysia californica (California sea hare)
Lineage: Eukaryota; Metazoa; Mollusca; Gastropoda; Aplysiida; Aplysiidae
Exons: 4
Source: RefSeq, a predicted model, not a curated record
UCAGUGACGAGCCUACCUACUAGAUUCUAGAUCUACCUGCUAAUCCAGAACAAGAUGUUUACUUAGGGAAAUAUUUGCUCACAAGACAAACGUGUGUGCCUCAGUGACAGAGACCUGGUCUAUUUCCUGGACACGAGGAGAGAGCAAAGGUCAACCAGAAACUGGAGGAGGCUGUUUCCAUCUGUACUUUCUACCUGUGCUGAAAGUGGCUUGAAAGAGCACCAAAACUGGUCCCUCACACCGGUGGAGCAACUGGCUGUUGCUAUGGAGAGAAGCUUUCUAAAAUUCCUGCUUGCCCAGCCACUGGAGGUGAGGGUGAUUCUGAAAACUUGCACAAAAGGCGGGGUAAGGAAGUGAAAUUUCUU